This 883-nucleotide ribosomal RNA is filed under the name Natrinema altunense. Its description in RNAcentral is "bacterial SSU rRNA". It matches the Rfam family "Archaeal small subunit ribosomal RNA", at positions 52 to 936 of the family's 1478-position model. Lineage: Archaea; Methanobacteriati; Methanobacteriota; Halobacteria; Halobacteriales; Natrialbaceae. The record is from RNAcentral.
UGCUAGUUGCACGAGUUUAGACUCGUAGCAGAUAGCUCAGUAACACGUGGCCAAACUACCCUAUGGAUCCGAAUAACCUCGGGAAACUGAGGCUAAUGCGGAAUAGCGUUCAUCGCCUGGAGUGGCACGAACGCGAAACGUUACGGCGCCAUAGGAUGUGGCUGCGGCCGAUUAGGUAGACGGUGGGGUAACGGCCCACCGUGCCCAUAAUCGGUACGGGUUGUGAGAGCAAGAGCCCGGAGACGGUAUCUGAGACAAGAUACCGGGCCCUACGGGGCGCAGCAGGCGCGAAACCUUUACACUGCACGCGAGUGCGAUAAGGGGACUCCGAGUGCGAGGGCAUAUAGUCCUCGCUUUUCACGACCGUAAGGUGGUCGUAGAAUAAGUGCUGGGCAAGACCGGUGCCAGCCGCCGCGGUAAUACCGGCAGCACGAGUGAUGACCGCUAUUAUUGGGCCUAAAGCGUCCGUAGCUGGCCACGCAAGUCUAUCGGGAAAUCCGCGCGCUUAACGCGCGGGCGUCCGGUGGAAACUGCGUGGCUUGGGACCGGAAGACCAGAGGGGUACGUCCGGGGUAGGAGUGAAAUCCCGUAAUCCUGGACGGACCACCGGUGGCGAAAGCGCCUCUGGAAGACGGAUCCGACGGUGAGGGACGAAAGCUCGGGUCACGAACCGGAUUAGAUACCCGGGUAGUCCGAGCUGUAAACGAUGUCUGCUAGGUGUGGCACAGGCUACGAGCCUGUGCUGUGCCGUAGGGAAGCCGUGAAGCAGACCGCCUGGGAAGUACGUCCGCAAGGAUGAAACUUAAAGGAAUUGGCGGGGGAGCACUACAACCGGAGGAGCCUGCGGUUUUAUUGGACUCAACGCCGGACAUCUCACCAGCAU